AAUUAAUGAGCUUGUAUAAGUUUAUAUUUUGAAAGUAUAAGAAAGAGAUAAAGACUCUAUUAAUUU
RNAcentral lists this transfer RNA (66 nucleotides) under Pyrocoelia pygidialis. Its description in RNAcentral is "tRNA-Ser". The record is from RNAcentral. Lineage: Eukaryota; Metazoa; Arthropoda; Insecta; Coleoptera; Lampyridae.